Molecule: ribosomal RNA, 460 nt
Filed under: uncultured bacterium
Lineage: Bacteria
Description: partial 16S ribosomal RNA
Rfam family: Bacterial small subunit ribosomal RNA
Source: RNAcentral
CCUACGGGAGGCAGCAGUGAGGAAUAUUGGUCAAUGGACGAGAGUCUGAACCAGCCAAGUAGCGUGAAGGAUGACUGCCCUAUGGGUUGUAAACUUCUUUUAUAUGGGAAUAAAAUGUUCCACGUGUGGGAUUUUGUAUGUACCAUAUGAAUAAGGAUCGGCUAACUCCGUGCCAGCAGCCGCGGUAAUACGGAGGAUCCGAGCGUUAUCCGGAUUUAUUGGGUUUAAAGGGAGCGUAGGUGGAUUGUUAAGUGAGUUGUGAAAGUUUGCGGCUCAACCGUAAAAUUGCAGUUGAAACUGGCAGUCUUGAGGACAGUAGAGGUGGGCGGACUUCGUGGUGUAGCGGUGAAAUGCUUAGAUAUCACGAAGAACUCCGAUUGCGAAGGCAGCUCGCUGGACUGCAACUGACACUGAGGCUCGAAAGUGUGGGUAUCAAACAGGAUUAGAUACCCGAGUAGUC